RNAcentral lists this ribosomal RNA (659 nucleotides) under Colias philodice (clouded sulphur butterfly). RNAcentral's name for it is "partial 16S ribosomal RNA". Lineage: Eukaryota; Metazoa; Arthropoda; Insecta; Lepidoptera; Pieridae. The record is from RNAcentral.
UGGGGGAAAAUUAAUAUAAUAAAAUAAAUAAUAAAAAUAAUUAUAAAAAAUAAUUAAUGGGGGUUAAAGUAUUUUUUAGAAAAAAUUUAUUAAUUUAUAGUUUAAUAGUAUUGUGAAAGAAUUUUGAAAUAAAGUUAAAUAUGGAUUAUUAUUUAAGUAAAUUUAAUUUAUUGUAUCUUGUGUAUCAGAGUUUAUUAAUAAAAUAUUUUUAAAUAAAAAUAUCUCGAAUUUAAAAGAGAUAGUUAAUUAUUAAAGUUAAUGUGACAUAAUUAUUUUAAAUAAUUAAUUUGAAAUGAAAUGUUAAUCGUUUUUAAAAAUAUCUAGUUUUUUUAGAAAAAAAUUUAAUUUUAAAUUAAUUUAAUAAUUUUUUAAAUUUGUUGUAUAAAAUUAUAUAUUUAAUUAAAUAUUUUAGGGGAUAAGCUUUAAAUUAAAUUUUUAUAAUGUUAAUAAACUAUUUAAAUAUUUUAAAAUUUAUAUUUUUUAUAAAUUAUAAUUUUUUAUAAAUAAUUUUAUCUAUUUUAAAAUUUAAAUUUAUAUUUAAAUUUAUAUAAAAAAAUAAUUUUUAAUAAUAAAAAAUUAGUUAUAAUGAUAAAAUUAGUAUAUAAAAAAAAAAUAAAAUAAAAUUAAUUAAAAUUAAUAAAAAGGAAUUCGGCAAAAAU